This 783-nucleotide ribosomal RNA is filed under the name uncultured Neocallimastigales. Its description in RNAcentral is "partial large subunit ribosomal RNA". It matches the Rfam family "Eukaryotic large subunit ribosomal RNA", at positions 22 to 645 of the family's 3401-position model. Lineage: Eukaryota; Fungi; Neocallimastigomycota; Neocallimastigomycetes; Neocallimastigales. The record is from RNAcentral.
UAUCAGUCAUGCAUAGCAUAUCAAUAAGCGGAGGAAAAGAAACUAACAAGGAUUCCCCUUAGUAACGGCGAGUGAAGCGGGAAGAGCUCAAAUUUGAAAUCUUCAAGGGUUCUACCUUUACGAAUUGUAGUUUAAAGAAGUGUUUUCUGUUGGAGUUUUCGGUAAAAGUUCUUUGGAAUAGGACAUCAUAGAGGGUGAGAAUCCCGUAUUUGACCAGUUACUUUCCAGCUGUGUGAUACACUUUCAAAGAGUCGGAUUGUUUGGGAAUGCAGUCCAAAAUGGGUGGUAAAUUUCAUCUAAAGCUAAAUAUUGGCGAGAGACCGAUAGCGAACAAGUACCGUGAGGGAAAGAUGAAAAGAACUUUGAAAAGAGAGUUAAACAGUACGUGAAAUUGUCAAAAGGGAAGCGUUUGACACCAGUGUUGUUUUUCCGAAAAUCAAUUACUGAAUGGUUUGAUUUUUGAGGAAGUUAUGACUUCAUCGGCUUGCUUCCUCUCUUUAUGAAACUUUCUUAGUGCACUUUUCGGUUAACAAGUCAACAUCAAUUUCUUUUGUUGUAAAAGGGUAUGAGGAAGGUGGCUUUCUUUUCGGAGAAAGUGUUUAUAGCCUUGUGACCUCUGCAAUCGGAGAGAUUGAGGUCUGCAGCGUAGAUCCUUCGGGGUUAGAUACAUUUGUGCUAAGUUAUAGCUUUUCAUAGACAACUUGUUGACUAUGUUUAGUCUUGUAGCUUACUCGCUUAUGCUAUUUUACCUACGCUUAGGAUGUUGAUCUCUCACAGUCGAGC